Acromyrmex echinatior (Panamanian leafcutter ant) is the source of this 925-nucleotide long non-coding RNA. RefSeq lists it as uncharacterized. The record is from RefSeq and is a predicted model, not a curated record. Lineage: Eukaryota; Metazoa; Arthropoda; Insecta; Hymenoptera; Formicidae.
GUCGUUGUCGCGCGCAGACGUCGCACUGACGCAUCGAUACACUCUUCUUUCCCGCACGAAAAAGAAGACGAGAGAUCCGAUGAACUGCAGCUGAAGGAACGAUCGAUUAGUGUGAAUCAAGGCCCUUCGAAUGCAGUGUGCAUUUCUGGCUCCAAUUUAAUGACGACCUUCACUGGUGAAGAUGGAACAGCGGAAAAUCCAAGUGGGAUUUAGGGAGAAGAAUAUCGAGGGAAUCUUAAGAAAAAUAAGAUAUAUUUAAAAUAUAUAAAUAAAUAUCGGACAAAAAAAUGAUGUUGUAUUUAAUAGUAAAUUUUGUGUACGUAUAUGCGCGCACAUAUAGAUGUAACUUUUAAUAAAAUUGCAUUAAAAUUGAUCAAUGUGAAUUAAUUAUAAUUUUCGCAUUACCUACAUUGUAAUUAGAGAGGUCUACGAUUUAGAAAGAGAAGGAGGAUCGUUAAGCAUAUCGAUUACUCAACACAGUUGAUCCCGAACAUCGAAUAUCGUGAGAGAGGUAGUCAUGAACUGCAUUGGGAAACUGCAUUGGGAAACUGGAUCUAUAGAUAUUGUAGAAGAAUGUAAAUAGUUUCCGAGCGAGUAACAUUUUGCAAGCUAUUGCCAAUUAUGAUAUCACAAGCUUGAAGAAUCAUUCAUUUCUCUCUCUCUCUCUCUCUCUCUCUCUCUCUCUCUCUCUCUAAAAAGUCUAACAAACACACGAAAAAAAGAUGUUAAAGCGUAUUAUCGAGGCCUUCAUUUUAAUCAAGAAUGUAAACCGUAAAACUUGAAAACGUGGAAAUCCUCGUGAAAUUCCCACGAGACAGAUACAUCGAGUGGGUUAAGUUAUAUGGGAGAAUCGUAAAAUAUACUUAAGGACACUAUCAAGGAUAUCAUCGUCGGGAUAGACUUUCAAGCAGAUUGGAUGGAAGAG